Molecule: long non-coding RNA, 1125 nt
Organism: Oncorhynchus keta (chum salmon)
Lineage: Eukaryota; Metazoa; Chordata; Actinopteri; Salmoniformes; Salmonidae
Exons: 3
Source: RefSeq, a predicted model, not a curated record
UUUAAGUGGGGUAACGAGGAGUUGAAAUAGGUAUUGUGUUAAGUGGGGUAACGAGGAGUUGAAAUAGGUCUUGUUUUAAGUGGGGUAACGAGGAGUUGAAAUAGGCCUUGUUUUAAGUGGGGUAACGAGGAGUUGAAAUAGGUCUUGUGUUAAGUGGGGUAAUGAGGAGUUGAAAUAGGUAUUGUGUUAAGUGGGGUAACGAGGAGUUGAAAUAGGCUUUGUUUUAAGUGGAGUAACGAGGAGUUGAAAUAGGUAUUGUGUUAAGUGGGGUAAAGAGGAGUUGAAAUAGGUAUUGUUUUAAGUGGGGUAACGAGGACUUGAAAUAGGUAUUGUUGUAAGUGGGAUAACGAGGAGUUGAAAUAGGUAUUGUGUUAAGUGGGGUAACGAGGAAUUGUAAUAAGUCUUGUUUUAAGUGGGGUAACGAGGAGUUGAAAAAGGCCUUGUUUUAAGUGGGAUAAUGAGGAGUUGAAAUAGGCCUUGUUUUAAGUGGGGUAACGAGGAGUUGAAAUAGGUCUUGUUGUAAGUGGGGUAACGAGGAGUUGAAAUAGGUCUCGUUUUAAGUGGGAUAAUGAGGAGUUGUAAUAGGCCUUGUUUUAAGUGGGGUAACGAGGAGUUGAAAUAGGUCUUGUUUUAAGUGGGAUAAUGAGGAGUUGAAAUAGGCCUUGUUUUAAGUGGGGUAUAGAGGAGUUGAAAUAGGUCUUGUUGUAAUUGGGAUAACGAGGAGUUGAAAUAGGUAUUGUGUUAAGUGGGGUAAUGAGGAAUUGUAAUAGGUCUUGUUUCAAGUGGGGUAACGAGGAGUUGAAAUGGGUAUUGUUUUAAGUGGGGUAACGAGGAGUUGAAAUAGGUCUUGUUUUAAGUGGGGUAACGAGGAGUUGAUAAAGGUCUUGUUUUAAGUGGGGUAAUGAGGAGUUGAUAUAGGUCUUGUUUUAAGUGGAGUAACGAGGAGUUGAAAUAGGUAUUGUGUUAAGUGGGGUAAUGAGGAGUUGAAAUAGGCUUUGUUUUAAGUAAGGUAACGAGGAGUUGAAAUAGGUCUUGUUUUAAGUGGGGUAAUGAGGAGUUGAAAUAGGUCUUGUUUUAAGUGGGGUAACGAGGAGUUGAAAUAGGUCUUGUUUUAAGUGGGGUAAC